CUCCAGUUAAAGAAAGCUGGUAACCUACCUUUGAAGGAAGUAGCAUCAUCUUCAGUUUGGAGAUGAGGCAGCUGAGACCCGGAGAAGUGAAGUGACUUGCCAAAGACCACAGAGCUUAGGAAGAAGACAAGUCAGUGCCCUGGAUCUGGCUUCUCCUGUUCCCGUUUCUGCGGCCAGAUGCCCUUCUCAUUUCUCACCCCGCCACCUGAUGAGAAGCGCUGGCAGUGACUACUCAAGGAAGGCAGAGGGUCGCAGUCUGAGAAGGACUAAGGCAGGUCCAUGUCGCCAUGCCCGCUGCGCCCCGCAGGGAUGCGGAGACCUGAGAGGUGGAAGGACUCCCCCGAGCCUUGAGGCGGGGAAGCAGCUCGCAGCUCUGCCUGGACGUCAGUGCGGCCUGUGCCCCGCACCGCCUUGCGGGGACCUCUGGGCCUCUACCCCUGGUGUGAGGGAGACUGCUUGGUACGUGGGUCACGGCCUCCUGCUCCAGCCGGUUCCUGUCCUCAUCCUCAGAGGCCUCCGGUGACCUACACCUCCACUCUACUUCAGCUCUCCCUCCCCAACUACUCCUGGCAGCGCCGCUCACAGCUCUGAAGUCUCAGACGGGGUGGUGCCACCUUCUCAAGGAAGCUUCCCCUGGACACUGAGCUUUCAGACUGAGCACUCUGAGGACCAGAAGCGACUAAGUUUUGCAUCCCCAUGCUGAACACAAAUGGUUUCCGAAUGAAUGACUAAUAAAUGAAUAGGUGUACCUUUC
Molecule: long non-coding RNA, 754 nt
Organism: Suricata suricatta (meerkat)
Lineage: Eukaryota; Metazoa; Chordata; Mammalia; Carnivora; Herpestidae
Exons: 6
Source: RefSeq, a predicted model, not a curated record